UAAUUUAAUGGCCGCGGUAUUAUGACCGUGCAAAGGUAGCAUAAUCAUUAGUCUAUUAAUUGUGGACUUGUAUGAAUGGUUGGACGAAAUAUUAACUGUCUCAUUAUUAUUAAUAUAAUUUAAAUUUUUAGUUAAAAUGCUUAAAUUAGCUUAUUGGACGAGAAGACCCUAUAGAUCUUUAUUAAUAUUAUUUAUUAUUUAUUUUGGUUUUAAUUUUUAAUAAUAUAUUUAUUUAUUUUGUUGGGGUGACAUUAAGAUAUAAUUAACUCUUAAUAAUAAUAUAUAAUUAUUUUUAUAUAUAUGACCUUUUAUUAUUGUUAUAAGAUUUAGAUACCUUAGGGAUAACAGCGUAAUUUUUUUUGAGAGUUCUUAUCGACAAAAUAGAUUGCGACCUCGAUGUUGGAUUAAGAUUAUAAAAUGGUGUAGGUGCUAUAUUAUUAGGUCUGUUCGACCUUUAAAUUCUUACAUGAUCUGAGU
This 477-nucleotide ribosomal RNA is filed under the name Xenophasmina simile. RNAcentral describes it as "partial large subunit ribosomal RNA". It matches the Rfam family "Bacterial large subunit ribosomal RNA", at positions 1920 to 2610 of the family's 2925-position model. Lineage: Eukaryota; Metazoa; Arthropoda; Insecta; Phasmatodea; Phasmatidae. The record is from RNAcentral.